Octopus sinensis (East Asian common octopus) is the source of this 107-nucleotide long non-coding RNA. RefSeq lists it as uncharacterized. The record is from RefSeq and is a predicted model, not a curated record. NCBI's taxonomy places the organism in Eukaryota, Metazoa, Mollusca, Cephalopoda, Octopoda, Octopodidae. The transcript is spliced from 3 exons.
AAAGAGUAUUACAGUUGUGUUAGAAUGGUCCUGAAUACUGAGCUGAGCUCUCAGAAUAGAAUUGCAGUUAUAAACUCCCUGGUAGUACCUGAUGUUUAACAUAAUCU